UACGUAGGAUGCAAGCGUUGUCCGGAAUUAUUGGGCGUAAAGCGAACGUAGGCGGUUUCUUAAGAUUGGUCUUAAAGACCGGGGCUCAACCCCGGGAAUGGAUCGAUAACUGGGAGACUGGAGGACGUCAGAGGAAAGUGGAAUUCCGGGUGUAGCGGUGGAAUGCGUAGAGAUCCGGAAGAACACCGGUGGCGAAGGCGGUCUGCUGGGCAGUUGCUGACGCUGAUGCGCGACAGCGUGGGGAGCAAACGAGG
RNAcentral lists this ribosomal RNA (254 nucleotides) under uncultured bacterium. RNAcentral describes it as "partial 16S ribosomal RNA". It matches the Rfam family "Bacterial small subunit ribosomal RNA", at positions 524 to 777 of the family's 1533-position model. The record is from RNAcentral.